RNAcentral lists this ribosomal RNA (279 nucleotides) under uncultured Sphingomonadales bacterium. Its description in RNAcentral is "partial 16S ribosomal RNA". It matches the Rfam family "Bacterial small subunit ribosomal RNA", at positions 505 to 783 of the family's 1533-position model. Lineage: Bacteria; Pseudomonadati; Pseudomonadota; Alphaproteobacteria; Sphingomonadales. The record is from RNAcentral.
GUGCCAGCAGCCGCGGUAAUACGGAGGGAGCUAGCGUUGUUCGGAAUUACUGGGCGUAAAGCGCACGUAGGCGGCUUUGUAAGUUAGAGGUGAUAGCCUGGAGCUCAACUCCAGAAUUGCCUUUAAGACUGCAUCGCUUGAAUCCAGGAGAGGUGAGUGGAAUUCCGAGUGUAGAGGUGAAAUUCGUAGAUAUUCGGAAGAACACCAGUGGCGAAGGCGUCUCACUGGACUGGUAUUGACGCUGAGGUGCGAAAGCGUGGGGAGCAAACAGGAUUAGAU